UCUUCUUCUUCUUCUUCUCC
This 20-nucleotide microRNA is filed under the name Corchorus capsularis. RNAcentral describes it as "sRNA CCACVL1_25759". Lineage: Eukaryota; Viridiplantae; Streptophyta; Magnoliopsida; Malvales; Malvaceae. The record is from RNAcentral.